CUGAAACACCAAUUCUCCUACGAUCACCUAAAUUAAGCAACGUCGAGCCUGGUCAGUACCUAGAUGGGUGAUCGAUUGGGAAUACCGGGUGCUGUAAG
Non-coding RNA from Acanthosepion pharaonis, 98 nucleotides. Lineage: Eukaryota; Metazoa; Mollusca; Cephalopoda; Sepiida; Sepiidae. The record is from the annotation of a GenBank genome assembly.